GAUGAACGCUGGCGGCGUGCCUAAUACAUGCCAGUCGAGCGAACGGACGAGAAGCUUGCUUCUCUGAUGUUAGCGGCGGACGGGUGAGUAACACGUGGAUAACCUACCUAUAAGACUGGGAUAACUUCGGGAAACCGGAGCUAAUACCGGAUAAUAUUUUGAACCGCAUGGUUCAAAAGUGAAAGACGGUCCUGCUGUCACUUAUAGAUGGAUCCGCGCUGCAUUAGCUAGUUGGUAAGGUAACGGCUUACCAAGGCAACGAUGCAUAGCCGACCUGAGAGGGUGAUCGGCCACACUGGAACUGAGACACGGUCCAGACUCCUACGGGAGGCAGCAGUAGGGAAUCUUCCGCAAUGGGCGAAAGCCUGACGGAGCAACGCUGCGUGAGUGAUGAAGGUCUUCGGAUCGUAAAACUCUGUUAUUAGGGAAGAACAUAUGUGUAAGUAACUGUGCACAUCUUGACGGUACCUAAUCAGAAAGCCGCGGCUAACUACGUG
Molecule: ribosomal RNA, 497 nt
Filed under: uncultured bacterium
Lineage: Bacteria
Description: partial 16S ribosomal RNA
Rfam family: Bacterial small subunit ribosomal RNA
Source: RNAcentral